CCAAAUCUAGCUUCCCUUGCACGCUACUCGAUUCCCGCCUCUGCUUCUUCUUAUUUCGCCUUCUCCUUCCUCUGUCGCACGUCUCUCUCUCUUCUAGCAACAGUGGCGUCAUCUCUCUCUCUUCCACUCUCCCGCCGAUGUAGCAACGGCAAUGUUCGCCGGUCCAUGUAUUUCAACAUCUCAGAGACUAAGGCCAUUCUUCUAACAUAAUAUUCUUCUAACUCGCCAGUAGACUAAGGCUCAGAGACUCUUACCUGUUCGUCGGUCCCCGAGUUUGAUGCUGGCAUAACUUUCGUUUCUCCCACAGAGUUUCGCCUCAAAUUGAUUUUUGUGUGAUUUUUGGCCAGAGCUCUUUUCCAUUACGCUCUAUUAUUUUUGCUUAAAGUAUGUGCUUUUUGGGCAUUCUAUUUCUUUUCCUCAUAACAUGCAGUAGCUCUUUUCCAUUACUUUUGUAAUUGACCCAAUGUAGUUUUCCUAUUCUUUUAGCUGCUACAUGGUGUUAUUACACCUUUGUUAUUAGUUAUUUAAGUAUUAAUUUUGUGAUUAUCUGAAAUUUGAUGUUCUGUUUUCAAUUUUUCAACAGAGGGAAUGAUUUGCUCUAUAAGGAAUUGAGAUGCUAUUCUUCUAACUCUACUGGUGGAGGAAACAGGUAAGAGUUAUUAAUUUUGUAGUAAGUUUGUCAACUCUAUGUGCAUUUCAUUCCUCCUAAUUCUUACUUCUUAUAGGCAUUGUUAAUAUUCCUAAUUUCUCACCAAUUUUGUUGAAUACUGCCUCCUUCAAUCUGAUUAUUAAAGUUAUUAAUUUUAUUAUUAUUAUAAUGUAUGGUUCUGAAACUUGAUCAGAAGAACAUGUUAGUUCUUAGUUGACAUUUCUAAACAGGAAUCCGAUUUGGGACACAUAACCCUAGCAUUAGUCAUUUAGGACUUGAUCAGUUGUUUAACUUCCCAUCCUACGCGAAGCUAAUCAAGAAAUAGCUAAUUUUUUGGAUUGAUAAGUUACUUCAGUUAAGUAAUUUGCUAUGCAUUUUAACGGAAAUACCCUCAAAUAAUGCUUAUUUAGCAAAUCACAAUCAUGUGAUCAUUUAUGUUUCAAGAAAAUUUUUGGAAGGAAAAAAGAAAAAAGAAAAGAAAAUUCCAUAAAGAAAUAUGUUGUGUACCCUUAAAUUAAUACUGCAUUAGCUUAGAUAAGAGAUUAAAUAGGUUGAAAUCAGAAAUCUUUGGAAGAAGAUCACUUAAGCAGCAAUUAAAAGAAGAUAUUCUGAUAUUCCACAUUAACCACUUGCAUGUUGGAGGAGAUUACUGAUUACCUCAACAAGAUAACAAAAAAGCUUCAAAUCUCAGUAUUCUAACAUAAAAGAAGGUACAGCCUAAAUUGGGUGUACAAAUAAUUGAAAACACACAAUUAAAUUGGGUGGCACACCACAAUAGUCAACAAAAAAAUUAUUUUAACAUAAAAGAAGGUACAGCCUUACCUCACAAAGUCGAGGCGCCACCCAUCGAAACCAAUAUCAUUUCGGAGCCAAUUUAACCACUCUUUUACAUCUCUUCGUACAAAAUCCUGGGAAUGAUCAAUGUUUGGUGCUGCAUGAAAGAUAUCACCUGCAGGUCAAAAUAGAAGCAGAUAAGCAAUAGUGCAUUCAUGCUUUUGCUGCCUACCUGGUAGCUUUCAUGCUCAUCUUAUCAAAUUUCACACAGCCAUUUUAUCUUUCUCUUUAUACUAGAACAUGGAUCAAAAACACAAAUAACUCGCAAUUUGUUCAGCCCACUGAAGUUCAACUUGGAUGAAAGUAUUCUUUGACCCUCUCCUAAAGAAUUAUUACACAACCAAAUGGACUUCUGUGCUGUUCCCAUCAACUUUUCUCUUUUUCUUUAAUACUGAGAAUUAAUAACCAAUAUAUAUAAUCUUCAAAUACAGAGAUAUGCCUUAAGGCAAAUAGCACCCAAGAAUAAUCCAAUCAUAGAAAUAGAAAUAAAAACAAAUGGAUUUGGGACAAACUUGGGACUUGGGGAGAAAGCACUCCAAGAUUUAUAGAAAGUUAAAAAAAUACAUGUAUCCGUUAAUGUAUUGAAAUGGUCAGAAAUAAAUAAUUCCGUUCCAUUAUCUUUAUAAAGAGUUUGUGCAUGCAUUCAUAAAGGCGUAUUGAAAUGGUCAGAAAUAAAUAAUUCUGUUCCAUUAUCUCACUAUAUCUCUCUUUCACAGCAGUAGCGCACACACAUUUGCACACGAAUGUGAGGUUUAUAGUUAUGAUGAUGGAAUAGAUGUUGAGUUGGUUUGUAGGGUAAUUUAGGUUGAGUUGGUUAUUUUGGUUCAUUAUCCAUAACUUAUGAAAUUUACUGUGUAGCUACAACCGUUUUAACUGCACAAUCAUCGACCAAUGGAUGAUGUUGUUAUAUUUGGUGGUGUAAGUUUUUUAUCUGAUUAACUCUCUAAAUAAAUCUUAUUGAUUUUUUUAAUAACUUAUUUAUUUUAAUUUAUUUUCAUUAAUGUCAUGACAGAUGGAUGACGACCUCGAAAAUAUCAUAUGAUAAUUUUUUCUUACUCAUCAUUUUCUUACUUUUUGUCUUAUCUUUUUACCCACUUAUUUACUAUUCAACAUUUUUUUGCCUACAGGUUCGAAUACUUCAUCAGAAUAAUGUAGGAGUGGUAAUUCGUAAUGAGUAUGAACUAAAUUGUCUCCGUAUACGUGAGGUAGUGUAUCCUUACACCUAUUUCACAUUCAUUUUUUCUGUUCUUUUUUUUUUUACUUUUAAGUAGCGUUUUUUUACCCAGAAGGAGGAAAAAAGGUCUGAUGCUUAUUUUUUUAUCGUGUUCUUACACAGAAGGAGAAACAAAGGUCUGAUGCUUUGGCGAAUGCCAAAUUUAAAGGAAAACAAAAAUCAAAUUCUUCUACCCAAGGAACAAAAAUUAAAGAUUGUCAACUGGUAUCACUUUUCUCUCUGUUUUUACAAUGGAUUUAGAUGUUAUUGAAUUUAAAAAAAUUAAAGUUUCGUUUUAUGUAGAACGUUUGAUUUGUCAAUAUGUUUUUGGUUUGUCUCAUUUAAUAUUAUAUAUAUUUUUUAUCGUGUUCUUGCACAGAAGGAGAAAAAAAGGUCUGAUGCUUUGGCGAAUGCCAAAUUUAAGGGGAAACAGAAAUCAACAUUUUCUAGCCAAGGAACAACAAAUAUAGAUUGCCAAUUGGUAUCACUUUUAUUCCUAUUCUUUUCUCUCUGUUUUUACAAUGGUUUUGGAUGUUAUUAAAUUUAAAAAAUUUUAAGUUUUGUUUUAUGUAGAACGUUUGAUUUGUCAACAUGUUUUUGGUUUUUCUCAUUUAAUAUUACUUAUUUUUUUAUUUCGUGUAUACAAUUAAAUUACUGAGAAACUAUGAUUUUUUGUUUUUUUUUACCAAUUUUGUAGUUAAGAGAUUUAGUUUCUUUAUCUUAAUGUUGUUUUGUUACCAAUUUUAAUGUUACUAUAUGCAAUUGUGGCUAUAGUGUUACCAAUUAUAAUUAUAAAGUUGAUAAACGGUUGGGUAGAUAGUUCUGUUAAUGUAACACUUUAUUUUCAUUUUACAUCACGUUGCUAUAUAUACAAAGUGGAAAACGAUACGAUAUACGAUAAAUCAACAAAAUAAUAAUUAUUUUUUUAUGAGUUUGUGGUUUAGGCACAAAACUAUAACGUUAUAUCAAAAUCAACAUUGACGCAAUGUGCAAGGCUUGCUCCAAAAAUACGUUAUGCUGGGAAAGAAAAUGAGUGCUCCAAACGUCAACCGGGACAACUUGCAUGUCACAAAAGAGAGCGAUCAAAACAUUGUGACCCCGUUCAGCCUAGAUUUUUUCCUUCUUUACCACCGAGCCGUCGUCGCCGAGCAUGCCUAGAACGAGAAUCAAAUAAAAGGUCCCGCCUUCAACCAAUGACUUUGUCUACCAAAAUUUCACAUCCUGAAAUAGACAGUAUAGUGCCAACAAAUGUUUUAGAGUCAUCGUCAGCCACAAUUAUUUCACGGUGGUUGUCCGUGGCCAUCAUGAAUCAAGAAAAUCCUCCUCAAAAUCUUGAAGAAGGCACCCCAACAAAUAUCUUAAGGUUGUCACCUGUGACUACCAUGCUCCAAGACUUGCUUCCUCAAAACCUAUACAAAAGCACUACAACAGUCUUAGAACCAUUCUCCCCACGUUCCCCAGGGGCAUCGUAUAUGACAAACAUGUUCCAACAAAUGCGUAAUCCGGAUGAAGGCACCAGGUGUUUGAUUUAAGUUUUAAUUUUCUAUUCUCACACUUUCUGUCUUAUUCAUGUUAUCCUUUUAAAAAUUGUAUGACAUCUAUAAUUUUAUCUGUAGUGCCUACACAGUAGAAGGUGUUACUAUGGAUGUUGCAAUUAAUCCUCAAAACCAUGAAAUUCCAGAUCGUCAUUCCCUCGGCUUGAUGAAUCGAACAUGUCCUCAUUGUUCUGCCUUAUAUUGGCUUGCUAAAAAGUUAACAAAAUCAUCUGUAUCAAAUCCUCUCUUCGGUAAAUGUUGUUUACAAGGAAAAAUUAGACUGCCGCCACUUAUUGCACCUCCUUUAAUGCUUAAAGCAUUGUAUGACGGCAAUGAUGAACAAUCAAAAUCGUUUCGUCAGCACACACGAGAGUAUAAUGCAGCUAAUGCGUUUACAAGUCUUGGUGCUACUUUGGACUACAGAUUAAUUCCCGGGAGGGGGCCUAGAACAUUCACCAUCCAUGGAGAAUUACACCAUCGAACAGGAUCGCUUAUGCCACAGCCAGGGUGUGAACCAAUUUACUCUCAACUGUACAUUUAUGAUCCUAAUUCAGCUUUAGAUGUUCGCAGCAACAAAAAUCCUAACUUGAGAAGAGAUGUUUUGAAAACCAUACAAGAUUGUUUAUUGCAAGUAAAUCCAUUUCCUAUAAAAUUUCGGCAGGCUCACACAAUUUUAAGUGAAUUAGAAUUGACGGGGGUGAAUUUACCGGCCUAUCUUCACUAAAGUUCUGUAACAGACCGGCGUCGAUAUAAUUUCCCAACAAUCGAUGAGAUUGCGGUAAUAUUGCCGGGAGAUGGAACUGAAUCAAGUGGAAUGAGAGAUAUUAUGUUACAUUUAAGAGGGGAUAAUGGUUUGAUGCAAAUUAAUGAGUGUCAUCCGGCCUAUUUGCCAUUGCAUUAUGUGGUAUUGUUCCCUUAUGGUGAGCUAGGAUGGAAUCCAUAUUUGAAAUAGUGGAACGCUUCCCAAGGUGGACCUUCAUCUGCUCGAUUGACACAAUUGCAAUAUUACAGUUAUCAUAUGUUCCAACGUGACACUGAGUAUUCAACCAUUUUGAGAGCCGGAAAACUAUUUCAAGAAUUUGUAGUAGAUGCUUGGGCCGUUACUGAACAAAAUCGGUUGACAUACUACAAGUUGAAUCAAUCGAAGCUUCGUGCAGAACUUUACCAAGGUCUUACAGAUGUUUGUACAGAUGAGCUUGGUCCUGAACAAGUUGGUCAACGAAUGAUUUUGCCAUCUUCAUUCACUGGUAGUGCAAGAAAUAUGUUUGAAAUUUUUCAAGAUUCAAUGGCUAUCACGCGGUAUAAUCAACACCCAAAUAUUUUUCUACCUAUGACUGCGAAUCCCAAAUGGCCUGAAAUUACUAAAUCACUAUUGCCAAAUCAGAUCCCUACUGACCGUCCUGAUUUAGUGGCCAAUGUUUUUGAGUUGAAGCGAAAUUUUUUGAUGAAGGAGAUAGAAACAAACAACGUCUUUGGUAGAAAAGUGGCGCAUGUUUUUAUAAUCGAAUUUCAAAAAAGGGGGUUACCGCACAUGCAUGCACUUUUGUUCCUUUAUGGUUCAGAUAAAAUUCAAACAUGUGUUCAAGUGGAUAGAGUAGUGUGUGCUGAAUUUUCGGAUUGCCAAACUGACCCAUUGCUCUUUGAAACAAUUAUAGGUUGCAUGGUACACGGACCAUAUGGUGCUCGAAAUCCACAAGCACCAUGUAUGGAAAAUGGGGUAUGUACCAAGCGGUACCCUCGAUCAUUUGCUGAAUCAACAAGUAUGGACUCUGAUGGAUAUCCUGUUUAUCGUCGUCGUAAUACUGGUCAGAAGUACAUCGUGAGGGGGCAAGAAAUUGAUAAUAGAGACGUUGUGCCACAUAAUCCGUAUUUAUCAAGAAUGUUCAAUUUUCAUAUCAAUGUUGAAGUUUGUGCAGAGUCAGAUGUGUAAAAUACAUUCACAAGUAUAUUUAUAAAGGACAUGAUCGCGUAACAAUGGUAAUUGGAGGAAUUAAUGAGAUCCAACAAUAUCUUGAUGCUAGGUAUAUUGGACCUCCAGAAGCCACGUGGCGAUUGUUUGGUAAUCCUUUACAUGAAGAGAUUCCUUCAGUUGUAAGAUUGGCACUUCAUUUGCCUGGGAUGCAUCGUGUUGUCUUUAACCCUGCUGAAUCUUUUGAUAUGAUCCUUUCUAAAGGUGCACAUCAAAAAACAACUCUAACUGGCUUUUUUGAUUAUUGCGCUAUAAAUGAAUCAGCCCGUGUAUUAACUUAUCAGGAAUUUCCAAAAAAAUUUGUUUGGAACAAGUCUAUCGAUAAAUGGACUCCAAGACAAAGGGGUUAUGCAAUUGGUAGAAUGUACUUUGCUAGUACUAAUUCAGGUGAGCGGUUUUAUCUGCGUUUACUUCUAACUGUUGUUAGAGGACCUACUUCAUUUGACUGCCUACGCACGGUAAAUAAUGUUAUGCAUGAUACAUUCAAGUCAGCAUGUGUUGCAAGAGGACUUCUUGAAGAUGAUGAAGAAUGGAUACAAUGUCUUCACGAGGCUGCAAUUAUGAGAACGGGAUACCAAUUAAGGAGACUAUUUGUAGUAAUUCUAACGGAAUGCUUUCCAUUGCAUCCAUUUGAAUUGUGGAAGCAAUUCUCAGCACAUAUAUGUGAUGAUUUGGCACACAGGAUUCGUACUAAGUUUGGGAUUUUGAAUCCAACUGAUGAUCAUAUUGAAGAUUAUGGCUUAUAUUUGAUAAAUCAAUUGCUCCAUGAGUCGGGAAAGAGUUUAGUUGACUUUCCACCCAUGCCACAACCAACUGAAAAUUGGAAUGCAAUAGUUGGAAAUAGAUUACUGUUUGAGCACCAACAACUUGAGAAUGAAGCACAACAGUCUGAUGCACAAAUUAAUGUUGACAGACUUAAUGAUGCACAACUUGCUGCUUAUACUGCUGUCACAACGUCAGUAUGUGAAAACAAAGCAACUACUUUCUUUUUGAGUGGAGGUGCUGGGACGGGAAAAACAUUUUUGUACAAUACCAUUGCAACCAAAUUGCGUAGCUAUGGACAUGUUGUUGUUACUGUGGCUUCAUCUGGUAUUGCAUCUUUGUUAUUGGUAGGGGGCGCACUGCACAUUCUACAUUUUGUAUUCCUUUGGAAACCCUAGAUAAUUCAAUAUGUGGGUUCACUAAACAAUCAAUGCAUGCCGAGUUGUUUAGAAAAACAAAGCUGAUAAUAUGGGAUGAAGUUCCUAUGCAACACCGAUACUGUGUUGAGGCAGUCAAUCGCACCCUUCAAGAUAUCAGAGACGAUAAAAGACCUUUUGGGGGUAUCACUGUUGUCCUAGGUGGAGACUUUCGACAAAUAUUGCCUGUUAUUCCUAAAGGCGUUCGCGAGCAAAUUGUGGGUGCAUCAUUGAGACGGUCUUCGUUAUGGAAAGAUAUAUGUGUUUUGACUCUGGGUUUAAACAUGCGAUUAACUCACACAGACGUUCGAAAUAUUAAUUUUGCUCAAUUCUUGAUGGAGGUAAUUUUUCAUUCAACCUUGAAUUAAAUUUUUAUAACAUGAUACUUUGAAUUAAAUCUCAUUUUGUGAAUAAUUAUAUUUUUAUUUUCUAGAUUGGGACCAAUCCACAAGAAAUUGUGCAACUUCCAUCUACAAUAAACCGAUGUCAUAAUCUAAAUGAAUUGAUAUUUAGAAUCUAUCCACAAUUGGAUGUGGUUGGUAUAAUGACUCAAACCUUUCUCACUGAACGGACAAUUCUAUCUGCUCGCAAUGACGACGUCAGUGAUAUAAAUGUUGCAGCACUGAAUAUUACUCCGGGAGAAACAAUUACUUUUUUAGCUGCAGAUAAAAUGUGUGAAGGUGAUGAGCUCGAUCAUACCAUUAGGAAUCGAUAUCCUAACGAGUACUUAAACUCGCUGAAUCCUUCAGGGUUGCCACCGUUUAAAUUGGAGUUAAAAGUUGGAUGCCCAAUAAUGUUGUUACGAAAUAUUGCACCGAAAGAUGGACUUUGUAAUGGCACGCGAUUGAUGGUUGUUAGAUGUGCCUCAAGGGUAAUCGAAAUUCGGAUAUUAAAUGGAGAUAAAAUUGGCAAUUUAUUCUUCAUUCCAAGAAUAUCAUUGACACCAACAUCUUUGGACUUGCCUUUUCGAAUGACAAGACGUCAGUUUCCUAUCCGAUUAACUUAUGCUAUGACAAUCAAUAAAGCCCAAGGACAAUCUGUCAAGUUCGUUGGGAUUGAUUUGCGAACACCUGUUUUUAGUCAUGGACACCUUUAUGUGGCACUAUCUAGAUGCACAUCUGCGGAUCGUAUUACUGUCCUCCUUCCGGAAGAUGGGUCGAAUUGCACCACAAAUAUUGUUUACCCAGAAGUUUUAUUAUGAUAUUCUUACGACAAGUAAAUGGUAUAGUUUAAACAAGUUUAUUUCUACUAAAUUAUGUAAUCUUUUCAACAUUUCAACUUUUAAUUUUACAAUGAGGUUCAUUCUUUGUAGGAUUGGAGUGAAUUUGUCAACGAGAACAAUAAAAUAUAUACAAUGGACCUUUGUGGAUGGGGCCGACGUAAUCAGG
This 8766-nucleotide long non-coding RNA is filed under the name Panax ginseng (ginseng). Its description in RNAcentral is "long non-coding RNA (PGIN_LNC010830)". The record is from RNAcentral. Lineage: Eukaryota; Viridiplantae; Streptophyta; Magnoliopsida; Apiales; Araliaceae.